Molecule: ribosomal RNA, 526 nt
Filed under: uncultured bacterium
Lineage: Bacteria
Description: bacterial SSU rRNA
Rfam family: Bacterial small subunit ribosomal RNA
Source: RNAcentral
ACAUCCAGAGAACUUAGCAGAGAUUGCUUUGGUGCCUUCGGGAACUCUGAGACAGGUGCUGCAUGGCUGUCGUCAGCUCGUGUUGUGAAAUGUUGGGUUAAGUCCCGNAACGAGCGCAACCCUUAUCCUUUGUUGCCAGCGGUUCGGCCGGGAACUCAAAGGAGACUGCCGGUGAUAAACCGGAGGAAGGUGGGGAUGACGUCAAGUCAUCAUGGCCCUUACGGCCAGGGCUACACACGUGCUACAAUGGCGCAUACAAAGAGAAGCGACCUCGCGAGAGCAAGCGGACCUCAUAAAGUGCGUCGUAGUCCGGAUUGGAGUCUGCAACUCGACUCCAUGAAGUCGGAAUCGCUAGUAAUCGUAGAUCAGAAUGCUACGGUGAAUACGUUCCCGGGCCUUGUACACACCGCCCGUCACACCAUGGGAGUGGGUUGCAAAAGAAGUAGGUAGCUUAACCUUCGGGAGGGCGCUUACCACUUUGUGAUUCAUGACUGGGGUGAAGUCGUAACAAGGUAAGCGUAGCGAG